UUCGCCCUUAGAGUUUGAUCCUGGCUCAGGAUGAACGCUGGCGGCGUGCUUAACACAUGCAAGUCGAACGAGAGAAGAUCGGUGCUUGCACUGAUCCGAUCGAGUGGCGGACGGGUGAGUAACGCGUGGGUAACCUGCCUCAUACAGGGGAAUAACAGUUGGAAACGGCUGCUAAAACCGCAUAAGCGCACGGUAUCGCAUGAUACAGUGUGAAAAACUCCGGUGGUAUGAGAUGGACCCGCGUCUGAUUAGCUAGUUGGUGAGGUAACGGCCCACCAAGGCAACGAUCAGUAGCCGGCCUGAGAGGUUGAACGGCCACAUUGGGACUGAGACACGGCCCAGACUCCUACGGGAGGCAGCAGUGGGGAAUAUUGCACAAUGGGGGAAACCCUGAUGCAGCGACGCCGCGUGGAGGAAGAAGGUCUUCGGAUUGUAAACUCCUGUUGUUGAGGAAGAUAAUGACGGUACUCAACAAGGAAGUGACGGCUAACUACGUGCCAGCAGCCGCGGUAAAACGUAGGUCACAAGCGUUGUCCGGAAUUACUGGGUGUAAAGGGAGCGCAGGCGGGAAGACAAGUUGGAAGUGAAAUCCAUGGGCUCAACCCAUGAACUGCUUUCAAAACUGUUUUUCUUGAGUAGUGCAGAGGUAGGCGGAAUUCCCGGUGUAGCGGUGGAAUGCGUAGAUAUCGGGAGGAACACCAGUGGCGAAGGCGGCCUACUGGGCACCAACUGACGCUGAGGCUCGAAAGUGUGGGUAGCAAACAGGAUUAGAUACCCUGGUAGUCCACACCGUAAACGAUGAUUACUAGGUGUUGGAGGAUUGACCCCUUCAGUGCCGCAGUUAACACAAUAAGUAAUCCACCUGGGGAGUACGACCGCAAGGUUGAAACUCAAAGGAAUUGACGGGGGCCCGCACAAGCAGUGGAGUAUGUGGUUUAAUUCGACGCAACGCGAAGAACCUUACCAAGUCUUGACAUCCCUUGACGAUGCUGGAAACAGUAUUUCUCUUCGGAGCAAGGAGACAGGUGGUGCAUGGUUGUCGUCAGCUCGUGUCGUGAGAUGUUGGGUUAAGUCCCGCAACGAGCGCAACCCCUAUUUCCAGUAGCCAGCAGUCAGAUGGGCACUCUGGAGAGACUGCCGGGGAUAACCCGGAGGAAGGUGGGGAUGACGUCAAAUCAUCAUGCCCCUUAUGAUUUGGGCUACACACGUGCUACAAUGGCAGUUACAAAGAGAAGCGAAACUGUGAAGUGGAGCAAACCUCAAAAAGGCUGUCUCAGUUCGGAUUGUAGUCUGCAACUCGACUACAUGAAGCUGGAAUCGCUAGUAAUCGCAGAUCAGAAUGCUGCGGUGAAUACGUUCCCGGGCCUUGCACACACCGCCCGUCA
RNAcentral lists this ribosomal RNA (1385 nucleotides) under uncultured bacterium. RNAcentral's name for it is "16S ribosomal RNA". It matches the Rfam family "Bacterial small subunit ribosomal RNA". The record is from RNAcentral.